Molecule: long non-coding RNA, 721 nt
Organism: Myzus persicae (green peach aphid)
Lineage: Eukaryota; Metazoa; Arthropoda; Insecta; Hemiptera; Aphididae
Exons: 3
Source: RefSeq, a predicted model, not a curated record
GUGAUGUCGGUCAAUUGCUUUAUUGAAAAAAAAAAUUUGGAUUCUUACUAUCAGAGAUACAUGCACUCCAGUUAAGAUGGCCAUCAUUCCCCCAUCUUCCCCUACAUCAUAUCAGGGUUAUCUUCAAUAUUAGAAGACUACCUAGUGAUUAUUAUAUUCAUAAUUAAAGUAUAUAUUAUUCAAUUACUAGGCAUAUAAUAUUAGCGUGUGUUAUGAUUUUCAUUGGUUGGCAAGAAUAGUCGGUAAAGAGUCUUUUGAUUUGAUUGAACCUGUUAUACCCUCCAUAAUAUUUAGCGACGCACAUUUUACUUCCGACUCUCCAAGACCUAUGGAUACCACCAAAACUAAUUGUCAUUCAAGUUGGUGGUAUACAUUUGAGUCCACCAUAAAAAAGUACUUGACGUACACACAAUUCGUUUAUAAAUUAAAAGAUCGUAAUAAACCACUAGCGAGAUGCGAGAAGACGCAGAUAAUGUUAUUGACUUUAAGUUUUAUAGUAGCUUUUUAAUUCACUCUAAUAUAGUUAUAUAUUUAAUACAAAAUCGGAAGGAUUGAACAUGUAUUGUUGUGUUAUGUAUACGGAAACGGAACAAAUUUGAAUGCAAAUUGCAUUUUUUCUAAAUGUCCGAAAACAUUGUUUUCCAAACAGAAAAAGUUCAUUUCAUACAUCAAGCAAUUAAAAAAUGAAAUUUCUAUUUUGCAUUUUUAAAACUUUUUUACU